UUCUUUGUGUAGUCGGUCGUUUUCCCGUUUCCCCAUUGGUCCGUUUUGGAUCCUUGCUCCGAUUGGUCGUUUUGAAAUUCAUUCACCCCAUUGGUCCGAGAGUCAAAGCCCGCCACCUCGUUCGCUGUGAAAAGGGAGUGUGGGAGGUCAGUCGGGUGUGGGUUCCAGAGGGCGCAGCGGUGUGCGCCGCCUGAAGAGACCUCGCCGUGGAGAAGCAGCAGCGCCGAGCCGAUGGAGCGGCCGUGCCUGCAGGCGCACGGAGAGCCUCGUGGCUGAGUUGCCCCUGCAACUCUCUUAAAAGAGCGAUCACUGAGGGUGUUGUUGAGCCUUCGGAGCAUAGGGCGCCUUUUUCAAGGCGCCCGGCUCCCGGAUGGUCUCAGCUCCCGAAGAGGCUCCGCGGCCGGGCUGGAGCAGGCAGCGGGCGCGGGCCGAAGGUCCAGAGCUUUGUGUGAGGCAGCAGCAGCAUCGCGGGAGGUGAAGCUGGAUGUCGGCGUUGGAGGUGAUGUGUGCCCGGUGAGCCGUGAGCGCUAGCCAGAAGCCGUUGCUGUCGCUGAAGUCUGACUCGGUGGUGCCAGUCUAAGCCUCCAGGACGUUGUUGCCGUGCAAGAGAGAGUUUGUCUGCCUGUGAUACCAUUCCUUGAAGGAAGGGGAGAAUGUUAGAGCUUUUGGGCCACCUACAUCUUUUGGAUCUUGUCAGCCCGUCGGUUUCCUACGGUUUUCUCCUCUGAGUCUCCU
Molecule: long non-coding RNA, 735 nt
Organism: Hirundo rustica (Barn swallow)
Lineage: Eukaryota; Metazoa; Chordata; Aves; Passeriformes; Hirundinidae
Exons: 3
Source: RefSeq, a predicted model, not a curated record